CCUACGGGGGGCAGCAGUGGGGAAUAUUGGACAAUGGGGGCAACCCUGAUCCAGCCAUGCCGCGUGUGUGAAGAAGGCCCUCGGGUUGUAAAGCACUUUCAGUGAGGAAGAACGCCUGGUGGUUAAUACCCAUCAGGAAAGACAUCACUCACAGAAGAAGCACCGGCUAACUCCGUGCCAGCAGCCGCGGUAAUACGGAGGGUGCGAGCGUUAAUCGGAAUUACUGGGCGUAAAGCGCGCGUAGGUGGCUUGAUAAGCCGGUUGUGAAAGCCCCGGGCUCAACCGGGGAACGGCAUCCGGAACUGUCAAGCUAGAGUGCAGGAGAGGAAGGUAGAAUUCCCGGUGUAGCGGUGAAAUGCGUAGAGAUCGGGAGGAAUACCAGUGGCGAAGGCGGCCUUCUGGACUGACACUGACACUGAGGUGCGAAAGCGUGGGUAGCAAACAGGAUUAGAUACCCUUGUAGUC
RNAcentral lists this ribosomal RNA (465 nucleotides) under Vreelandella stevensii. RNAcentral describes it as "partial 16S ribosomal RNA". It matches the Rfam family "Bacterial small subunit ribosomal RNA", at positions 338 to 795 of the family's 1533-position model. Lineage: Bacteria; Pseudomonadati; Pseudomonadota; Gammaproteobacteria; Oceanospirillales; Halomonadaceae. The record is from RNAcentral.